ACCGCAUUAAUUAGAGUAGUUAACGAGUUGUUAAUGUCUUCUGAUAAUGGAUGUGUCUCUUUUCUUGUUCUAUUAGAUCUUAGUGCAGCGUUUGAUACGGUCGAUCAUAACAUUUUACUGGAGAGGCUAGAAAAUACAGGCAUUCUGAUGGAAACCUGUUUACCCGCCGAGGUUAAGGAUUAAAGUCGAGACUGCCGGGACAACGAUGCUGCUCCUGUCAGAUGUGACGGGUCUGGAGUAAUUGCAACGACAAGAAAUCACUACAGACUUUAUUGAAGACUAGAGCGGAUAACAACUCUAUUAUUAUUUAAUUGUUUAUUUAUCUAUUUAUUACCACUGUAUGACUUUUAGAUCAUUCAAUUCUGUGUUUGUAUGAUUUGUGUAAAUCGUGUAUUUAUUUAAAGUAUCCUCCAGACCACCCAAGAAGGAUGGGCCCUGUUGAGUCUGGUUCCUCUCAAGGUUUCUUCCUGUAAUUUUCAGGGAGUUUUUCCUUGCCACAGUCGCCCUCGGCUUGCUCAACAGGGGUUUUUGUAUCUGUUGGUCCUGGAUUUUGUAAAGUUGCUUUGAGACAAUGUAUAUUGUAAAAAGCGCUAUAUAAAUAAAGUUGACUUGACUUGA
This is a long non-coding RNA of Trichomycterus rosablanca, 618 nucleotides long. RefSeq lists it as uncharacterized. Lineage: Eukaryota; Metazoa; Chordata; Actinopteri; Siluriformes; Trichomycteridae. The record is from RefSeq and is a predicted model, not a curated record. The transcript has 2 exons.